RNAcentral lists this transfer RNA (69 nucleotides) under Benthodytes marianensis. Its description in RNAcentral is "tRNA-Pro". Lineage: Eukaryota; Metazoa; Echinodermata; Holothuroidea; Elasipodida; Psychropotidae. The record is from RNAcentral.
CUCAAGCUAGUUUAUUAAAAAUAGUUGUUUUGGGGACAACCGAUACAAGUGAUUCUCUUGUGCUUUUGA